RNAcentral lists this long non-coding RNA (904 nucleotides) under Ananas comosus (pineapple). RNAcentral's name for it is "long non-coding RNA (ACOM_LNC025300)". The record is from RNAcentral. Lineage: Eukaryota; Viridiplantae; Streptophyta; Magnoliopsida; Poales; Bromeliaceae.
GGUAUUUCAUAGUAAUUAUGUAUAUAUAUAUAUAUAUAGAAUUAGGCUGGAAUACUAUUAAUAGUAAAACGCUAUUUUUACUAUCAAAUUUUUAACCGUUGGAUGAAAAAUUGUAGGGUCAAGAUGAUAAUAGACAGUUAGAGUUGAGUAGUCCUCUAGGGUUGAGUGGUCCCCACUGGGUUAUGAUAUUUAAUUCAAUGGUUAGAAAUAAUAAAAAGAGUUGAUCCAAAGGCUAAAAAACUGGUAGCAACAAUGAGAUUUUGCUACUAAUAGUAGCCGAGUCCAACUCUCUCUCUCUCUCUCUCUCUCUCUCUAUAUAUAUAUGGAGUUAAACUCCUAUAAUAUCUAUAGUACACGGAGAGUUUGGUACUAUAGUCUUAUUUUCAAUUUUAGUAUAUUUAAAUCAAUGAUUAAUACUGUUAAAAUUAAUUUAGGACAUUUGAAGUUUUUAGAAAUAAAUUUUUUUCUUUUUUUUCAAUAUAACUUACUUUAUGAUCAAAAUUAUUUUAAAAUUAUCAAUUUUCACUAGCUAGCUACUAUAGCGAGUUUGUAAUUUAACGAUAUGAAAGAAUCUAAAUUUAUUUAAAUUUUGAUAUAAAAUAUUUUAAACUAUCUGGAUCAAGGUCAGUAUCUUUGUUCUUGAAUUCAAAAGUCAUAUCUUCAAAUUUUAAAAAUUGUUCAAUUUUUACCGUUCAUUUUGACAUAAUUUAUUUACCAAGUAAGCGAUAUCGAAAAGAAUUAAAAUUUUAUUCUUAAGAAUUUUAUAUAUUCUAGAUCAUAUUUAAUUAACGGUGUAUAUCAUUAAUUUAAACAUUCUAAAAUCGAAAAUAAGACUAUAGAACUGGAGCAAGUAUAGUAGCCUCGUUCAUAUAUGUGUGCGUGUGUGCGCACACUGAUACUAAUC